RNAcentral lists this ribosomal RNA (433 nucleotides) under uncultured bacterium. Its description in RNAcentral is "partial 16S ribosomal RNA". It matches the Rfam family "Bacterial small subunit ribosomal RNA", at positions 29 to 507 of the family's 1533-position model. The record is from RNAcentral.
AACGAACGCUGGCGGCAUGCUUAACACAUGCAAGUCGAACGAGACCUUCGGGCCUAGUGGCGCACGGGUGCGUACCGCGUGGGAACCUGCCCUUAGGUUCGGAAUAACUCCCUGAAGGGGGUGCUCAUACCGGUUAAUGUCUUCGGACCAAAGAUUUAUUGCGUUUGGAUGGGCCCGCGUUGGUUUGGCGAGUUGGUAGGGUAAAAGCCUACCAAGGCGACGUUGCAUAGCUGGUCGGGUAGGAGGACCAGCAACACUUGGGCUGCGACACGGCCUAGACUCCGACGGGAGGGAGCAGAGUAGAAUAUUGUACGAGGGGCGAUGACGUGAUCCAGCAGUGCGGCGUAAGUGAUGAAGGCGUUAGUGUAGUGAAGUUCUUUUACCCGGGAUGAUAAUGACGGUACCGGGUGAAUAAGCUCCGGCUAACUCCGUG